AGAGCUUGAUUCUGGCUCAGAACGAACGCUGGCGGCGUGGAUAAGACAUGCAAGUCGAACGGGGCAAGUGAGAUUACAUCAAGUUUGUUCAGUGGCGGACGGGUGCGUAACACGUGAGUAAUCUGCCGGGAGGAGGGGGAUAGCCCAUGGAAACGUGGAUUAAUACCCUGUGUGACGGGACUUGGCAUCAGGUCCCUGUCAAAGGUGCUGUUAAAGGCGCCGCCUUCCGAUGAACUCGCGGCCUAUCAGCUAGUUGGCGGGGUAACGGCCCACCAAGGCGAUGACGGGUAGCUGGUCUGAGAGGAUGACCAGCCACACUGGAACUGAGACACGGUCCAGACACCUACGGGUGGCAGCAGUCGAGAAUCAUUCACAAUGGGCGAAAGCCUGAUGGUGUGACGCCGCGUGGAGGAUGAAGGUCUUCGGAUUGUAAACUCCUGUCAAGUGAGAGUAAGAUUGGGAUAGGAAAUGAUCGCCAAUUUGAGAGUAUCACUAGAGGAAGAGGCGGCUAACUCUGUGCCAGCAGCCGCGGUAAUACAGAGGCCUCAAGCGUUGUUCGGAAUCACUGGGCGUAAAGGGUGCGUAGGCGGCGCGGAAAGUCAGAGGUGAAAUCCCGGAGCUCAACUCCGGAACUGCCUCCGAUACUCCCGCGCUCGAGGACUGGAGAGGAGUCUGGAAUUCACGGUGGAGCAGUGAAAUGCGUGGAUAUCGUGAGGAACACUAGUGGCGAAGGCGAGACUCUGGACAGUACCUGACGCUGAGGCACGAAGGCCAGGGGAGCGAACGGGAUUAGAUACCCCGGUAGUCCUGGCAGUAAACGGUGCACGCUUGGUGUGGCGGGAAUCGACCCCCGCCGUGCCGGAGCUAACGCGUUAAGCGUGCCGCCUGGGAAGUACGGUCGCAAGAUUAAAACUCAAAGAAAUUGACGGGGACCCGCACAAGCGGUGGAGUAUGUGGCUUAAUUCGAUGCUACGCGAAGAACCUUACCUGGGCUUGACAUGCGUCUCUAAGGCGGUGAAAGCCGUUGACUCCCGCAAGGGUGAAUUCGCACAGGUGUUGCAUGGCUGUCGUCAGCUCGUGUCGUGAGAUGUUGGGUUAAGUCCCGCAACGAGCGCAACCCCCGUGUCCUGUUGCCAGCGCGUAAAGGCGGGAACUCUGGACAGACUGCCUAGUUAAACUGGGAGGAAGGUGGGGACGACGUCAAGUCAGUAUGGCCCUUACGCCCAGGGCCGCACACGUACUACAAUGGCCGGCACAAUGAGAACCGAGACCGCGAGGUGGAGGAAAUCUAUAAAACCGGCCCCAGUUCGGAUUGCAGGCUGCAACUCGCCUGCAUGAAGUUGGAAUCGCUAGUAAUGGCACAUCAGCUACGGUGCCGUGAAUACGUUCCCGGGUCUUGUACACACCGCCCGUCACAUCAUGGAAGCCGGUUUCGCUCGAAGUAUCCGCGCCAACCCGCAAGGGGGGCAGGGUCCUAAAGCAAGACUGGUGACUGGGAUGAAGUCGUAACAAGGUA
Molecule: ribosomal RNA, 1516 nt
Filed under: metagenome
Description: bacterial SSU rRNA
Rfam family: Bacterial small subunit ribosomal RNA
Source: RNAcentral